Molecule: ribosomal RNA, 461 nt
Filed under: uncultured bacterium
Lineage: Bacteria
Description: SSU rRNA
Rfam family: Bacterial small subunit ribosomal RNA
Source: RNAcentral
AGAAUCAACGCUGGCGGCGUGCCUAACACAUGCAAGUCGAACGAGAAAGUGGGAGCAAUCCCACGAGUAAAGUGGCGCACGGGUGAGUAACACGUGACUAACCUACCCUUGAGUGGGGGAUAACCUAGGGAAAACCUGGGCUAAUACCGCAUAAUACCUACGGGUCAAAGGAGCAAUUCGCUUUAGGAGGGGGUCGCGGCAGAUUAGUUAGUUGGCGGGGUAAUGGCCCACCAAGACAGUGAUCUGUAUCCGGCCUGAGAGGGCGCACGGACACACUGGAACUGAAACACGGUCCAGACUCCUACGGGAGGCAGCAGUGGGGAAUUUGCGCAAUGGGGAAACCCUGACGCAGCAACGCCGCGUGGAGGAUGAAGCCCCUUGGGGCGUAAACUCCUUUCGAUCGGGAAGAUAAUGACGGUACCGGAAGAAGAAGCCCCGGCUAACUUCGUGCCAGCAGCCGC